CCUACGGGAGGCAGCAGUGGGGAAUAUUGCACAAUGGGGGAAACCCUGAUGCAGCGACGCCGCGUGAGUGAAGAAGUAAUUCGGUAUGUAAAGCUCUAUCAGCAGGGAAGAAAAUGACGGUACCUGAGUAAGAAGCCCCGGCUAACUACGUGCCAGCAGCCGCGGUAAUACGUAGGGGGCAAGCGUUAUCCGGAUUUACUGGGUGUAAAGGGAGCGUAGACGGCAGUGCAAGUCUGGAGUGAAAGGCGGGGGCUCAACCCCCGGACUGCUAUGGAAACUGUACGGCUGGAGUGCAGGAGAGGUAAGUGGAAUUCGUAGUGUAGCGGUGAAAUGCGUAGAUAUUAGGAGGAACACCAGUGGCGAAGGCGGCUUACUGGACUGUAACUGACGUUGAGGCUCGAAAGUGUGGGGAGCAAACAGGAUUAGAUACCCCAGUAGUC
Molecule: ribosomal RNA, 440 nt
Filed under: uncultured bacterium
Lineage: Bacteria
Description: partial 16S ribosomal RNA
Rfam family: Bacterial small subunit ribosomal RNA
Source: RNAcentral